AGUGAACGCUGGCGGUAGGCCUAACACAUGCAAGUCGAACGGCAGCACAGUAAGAGCUUGCUCUUACGGGUGGCGAGUGGCGGACGGGCGAGGAAUACAUCGGAAUCUACUUUUUCGUGGGGGAUAACGUAGGGAAACUUACGCUAAUACCGCAUACGACCUACGGGUGAAAGCGGGGGAUCUUCGGACCUUGCGCGAUUGAAUGAGCCGAUGUCGGAUUAGCUAGUUGGCGGGGUAAAGGCCCACCAAGGCGACGAUCCGUAGCUGGUCUGAGAGGAUGAUCAGCCACACUGGAACUGAGACACGGUCCAGACUCCUACGGGAGGCAGCAGUGGGGAAUAUUGGACAAUGGGCGCAAGCCUGAUCCAGCCAUACCGCGUGGGUGAAGAAGGCCUUCGGGUUGUAAAGCCCUUUUGUUGGGAAAGAAAAGCAGCAGGUUAAUACCCCGCUGUUCUGACGGUACCCAAAGAAUAAGCACCGGCUAACUUCGUG
RNAcentral lists this ribosomal RNA (492 nucleotides) under uncultured bacterium. Its description in RNAcentral is "partial 16S ribosomal RNA". It matches the Rfam family "Bacterial small subunit ribosomal RNA", at positions 29 to 507 of the family's 1533-position model. The record is from RNAcentral.